This 634-nucleotide ribosomal RNA is filed under the name uncultured Nostoc sp. RNAcentral's name for it is "bacterial SSU rRNA". It matches the Rfam family "Bacterial small subunit ribosomal RNA", at positions 124 to 789 of the family's 1533-position model. The record is from RNAcentral. Lineage: Bacteria; Bacillati; Cyanobacteriota; Cyanophyceae; Nostocales; Nostocaceae.
GUAGGACUACAGGCCCCGGGACAACAGUUGGAAACGGCUGCUAAUACCGGAUGUGCCGAAAGGUAAAAGGCUUGCUGCCUGAAGAUGAGCUCGCGUCUGAUUAGCUAGUAGGUGUGGUAAGAGCGCACCUAGGCGACGAUCAGUAGCUGGUCUGAGAGGACGAUCAGCCACACUGGGACUGAGACACGGCCCAGACUCCUACGGGAGGCAGCAGUGGGGAAUUUUCCGCAAUGGGCGAAAGCCUGACGGAGCAAUACCGCGUGAGGGAGGAAGGCUCUUGGGUUGUAAACCUCUUUUCUCAGGGAAGAAUGCAAUGACGGUACCUGAGGAAUAAGCAUCGGCUAACUCCGUGCCAGCAGCCGCGGUAAUACGGAGGAUGCAAGCGUUAUCCGGAAUGAUUGGGCGUAAAGCGUCCGCAGGUGGCAAUGAAAGUCUGCUGUUAAAGAGUGAGGCUCAACCUCAUAAAAGCGGUGGAAACUACAUAGCUAGAGUACGUUCGGGGCAGAGGGAAUUCCUGGUGUAGCGGUGAAAUGCGUAGAGAUCAGGAAGAACACCGGUGGCGAAAGCGCUCUGCUAGGCCUGUACUGACACUGAGGGACGAAAGCUAGGGGAGCGAAUGGGAUUAGAUACCCCC